This 288-nucleotide ribosomal RNA is filed under the name uncultured bacterium. RNAcentral's name for it is "partial 16S ribosomal RNA". It matches the Rfam family "Bacterial small subunit ribosomal RNA", at positions 773 to 1060 of the family's 1533-position model. The record is from RNAcentral.
GUGGAUUAGAUACCCUGGUAGUCCACGCCGUAAACGGUUGGUACUAGGUGUGGGUUCCUUUUCACGGGAUCCGUGCCGUAGCUAACGCAUUAAGUACCCCGCCUGGGGAGUACGGCCGCAAGGCUAAAACUCAAAGGAAUUGACGGGGGCCCGCACAAGCGGCGGAGCAUGUGGAUUAAUUCGAUGCAACGCGAAGAACCUUACCUGGGUUUGACAUACACCAGACGCGGCUAGAGAUAGUCGUUCCCUUGUGGUUGGUGUACAGGUGGUGCACGGUUGUCGACAGCU